Molecule: non-coding RNA, 46 nt
Organism: Loxodonta africana (African savanna elephant)
Lineage: Eukaryota; Metazoa; Chordata; Mammalia; Proboscidea; Elephantidae
Source: Rfam
UAUAAGGCCUUACUGAAGGCCACAAAUUCCAACAUCUGGAAUUCUU